CUCUCCCAGGUGUCUGGAGGAGGGCAUCGAGGCUUCUCAGAACUUAAAUUUAAAAAUGCAAGCUGAGUAUGAAUGUGACAGCAACGGAAAUCUGUCUAGCAAUGCCUUACAUUGUGAAAUAGCUGUCAUUUACUGGAAACUUGCUGUGUAACAGCAAGCAUUUCAGUAGGUCAUUCAUUCACUCGACUGAGAUUUAUCGAACACCUACUACUACACGCCAGCCCCCAAGGAUGCCAUCGUGAAACCCUCCUCCACAAGAUCCCUAGGUGGAGUGUAUCGAAACCAUUGCUACAGCUGGAUAAUUGAAGCUCAAGGAGAAGUGACUUGCUAAGGACGUAUACCUAAUACCUGGCAGAGUUGGGUUUCAAAACCAGGCCCAUCUCGCGAAAAAUCUGGCUAUGCAUCGGCAGGGUUAGAAGGAGAUCUUCCCACGGAGCACCACCCCAAGCCUGCAUACAUGUCCCAGAGGACCCAUGGUUAGGGGCAGAGUCCCAACUUGACUGGAGCCACCUGUUCCCUCCUUCUUGUCCAGAAGGAACCAGAACAUUUGCGCCACAC
This 558-nucleotide long non-coding RNA is filed under the name Fukomys damarensis (Damara mole-rat). Its description in RNAcentral is "lncRNA (ENSFDAG00000023032.1)". The record is from RNAcentral. Lineage: Eukaryota; Metazoa; Chordata; Mammalia; Rodentia; Bathyergidae.